RNAcentral lists this long non-coding RNA (216 nucleotides) under Elaeis guineensis (African oil palm). RNAcentral describes it as "long non-coding RNA (EGUI_LNC044847)". Lineage: Eukaryota; Viridiplantae; Streptophyta; Magnoliopsida; Arecales; Arecaceae. The record is from RNAcentral.
UUCGAUCUCAUCCUUAAGCUAGAUGCAUUGCUCGGUAUUGUGGCCGUGGCCCCGGUGGAAUCGGCAGUACUUCCGUCGGUCGAGGCCUUUUGCCUUCAGAGGCGGAGGCCGUCGCAGGUACUCUUCCCCCUCGAUCUCCAUCAGAAUCUGCGCACGGGGAGCAGAGAGAGGAGUGUAGGAGUCAUACCUGGGGCGUGUCGGCCUUGGAGUUUGCCG